GACGAACGCUGGCGGCGUGCUUAACACAUGCAAGUCGAACGGGCCUUGUCCCCUUUUUUUUUGGGGGUGGGGUUAGUGGCGAACGGGUGAGUAACACGUGAGUAACCUGCCCCUCACUUCUGGAUAACCGCUUGAAAGGGUGGCUAAUACGGGGUGUUCUGGCCUGCUCGCAUGGGUGGGUUUGGAAAGAUUCGACCGGUUUGGUUGUUUUGGUGGGGGAUGGGCUCGCGGCCUAUCAGCUUGUUGGUGGGGUGAUGGCCUGCCAAGGCUUUGACGGGUAGCCGGCCUGAGAGGGUGGGCGGUCACACUGGGACUGAGACACGGCCCAGACUCCUACGGGAGGCAGCAGUGGGGAAUAUUGCACAAUGGGCGCAAGCCUGAUGCAGCGACGCCGCGUGAGGGAUGGAGGCCUUCGGGUUGUGAACCUCUUUCGCCAGUGAAGAAGGUCCUGCUCUUUGUGGUGGGGUUGACGGUAGCUGGGUUAAUGAAGCGCCGGCUAACUACGU
RNAcentral lists this ribosomal RNA (506 nucleotides) under uncultured bacterium. RNAcentral describes it as "partial 16S ribosomal RNA". It matches the Rfam family "Bacterial small subunit ribosomal RNA", at positions 28 to 506 of the family's 1533-position model. The record is from RNAcentral.